GAUGAACGCUGGCGGCGUGCUUAACACAUGCAAGUCGAACGAUGAAGCCCAGCUUGCUGGGUGGAUUAGUGGCGAACGGGUGAGUAACACGUGAGUAACCUGCCCUUGACUCUGGGAUAAGCCUGGGAAACUGGGUCUAAUACUGGAUAUGACUUCUCAUCGCAUGGUGGGGGGUGGAAAGAUUUAUUGGUCUUGGAUGGACUCGCGGCCUAUCAGCUUGUUGGUGAGGUAAUGGCUCACCAAGGCGACGACGGGUAGCCGGCCUGAGAGGGUGACCGGCCACACUGGGACUGAGACACGGCCCAGACUCCUACGGGAGGCAGCAGUGGGGAAUAUUGCACAAUGGGCGCAAGCCUGAUGCAGCGACGCCGCGUGAGGGGUGACGGCCUUCGGGUUGUAAACCGCUUUCAGUAGGGAAGAAGCGAGAGUGACGGUACCUGCAGAAGAAGCGCCGGCUAACUACGUG
This 466-nucleotide ribosomal RNA is filed under the name uncultured bacterium. RNAcentral's name for it is "partial 16S ribosomal RNA". It matches the Rfam family "Bacterial small subunit ribosomal RNA", at positions 28 to 507 of the family's 1533-position model. The record is from RNAcentral.